Rhipicephalus microplus (southern cattle tick) is the source of this 480-nucleotide long non-coding RNA. The record is from RefSeq and is a predicted model, not a curated record. NCBI's taxonomy places the organism in Eukaryota, Metazoa, Arthropoda, Arachnida, Ixodida, Ixodidae.
AGGAUGGCCUUGUCAUGACAUUAGAAAACUUUCUCGGUGUAUUUUUCAUCCUCGGCGGCGGAGUGGCACUUGGCCUCCUUGUGGGAUUCAUCGAGAUAGUGUCCCGCGCCUGUGCACGGAGUUCUUCAUGUGGCAAGGGUGAAGAUGCAGCCCCAUCAGAAGAAGCUCAGAUACCCGAAAAGGAGUACGUCGACCAACCACUGGUUCGUGCGUAAUUGGCCCCACAGCGGAGACUCAAAUCAGCGAUGCUGCUGAAGCCCUUAUUCAUCCUUUGUCUUGACACAACUUUACUUGGAAGUGUUUUAUAGUCGAGCAUUUCAUCCACCACUUUCUUUAUAGUCGCUUUACUUGUUCACACCAGGCGGGCUUAUUCUCUCAUUUGACUCGAAGAGUGGGCCAUAUGUUAAGAGUAUUACAGUGAAGUUAGCCGUGAAUUGCUAUUUGGAAAAAUAUUUUGUAAAUUAGAUUGCAAAGUUUCUG